This 397-nucleotide ribosomal RNA is filed under the name uncultured bacterium. Its description in RNAcentral is "partial 16S ribosomal RNA". It matches the Rfam family "Bacterial small subunit ribosomal RNA", at positions 523 to 918 of the family's 1533-position model. The record is from RNAcentral.
AUACGUAGGGGGCGAGCGUUGUCCGGAAUGAUUGGGCGUAAAGGGCGCGUAGGCGGCGCGGUAAGUCUGGAGUGAAAGUCCUGCUUUCAAGGUGGGAAUUGCUUUGGAUACUGCCGCGCUUGAGUGCAGGAGAGGUUAUCGGAAUUCCCGGUGUAGCGGUGAAAUGCGUAGAGAUCGGGAGGAACACCAGUGGCGAAGGCGGGUAACUGGACUGCAACUGACGCUGAGGCGCGAAAGUGUGGGGAGCAAACAGGAUUAGAUACCCUGGUAGUCCACACUGUAAACGAUGAAUGCUAGGUGUAGGGGGUAUCGACCCCUUCUGUGCCGCAGUCAACACAAUAAGUAUUCCGCCUGGGGAGUACGGCCGCAAGGUUGAAACUCAAAUGAAUUGACGGGG